Molecule: ribosomal RNA, 438 nt
Filed under: Eubranchus farrani
Lineage: Eukaryota; Metazoa; Mollusca; Gastropoda; Nudibranchia; Eubranchidae
Description: partial large subunit ribosomal RNA
Rfam family: Bacterial large subunit ribosomal RNA
Source: RNAcentral
AGCCAGAGGAAGAUAUUUUUGGUUUAACCUGCCCAAUGAUUAUUGUAUGAAUGGCCGCGGUACCCUGACCGUGCUAAGGUAGCGUAAUCAGUUGGCUUUUAAAUGGAGUCAGGUAUGAAUGGGAUAACCGGGCUUAGCUGUCUCAAAGACAUUUAUUUGAAUUUACUGUUCAAGUGAAAAAGCUUGAUUUAAGAAAAGGGACGAGAAGACCCUUAGAAUUUUGUUUAAAGAGGAUUAUUUCUUCUAUGAUUUUGUUGGGGCGACAGAGAAAUAAUUAAAACUUUCUUUAAAUUAAUCAGUCGGAAUUUUCAGGUUAGGAUAAAUUACCUGAGGGAUAACAGCAUAAUUUUAUAAAUAAGUUUGUGACCUCGAUGUUGGACUAGGAAGCUAAUGGGUUAGCUGCUCAUUGUGCGGAUUCUGUUCGAAUUUUAACUCCUA